CAACGGCACAAAGUCCGGCAGUUCGUUGGCGGCAAUUGAGAAGCUGGCAUCCUCGUAGAGCUUCUUCAGAUCGACCAUCGCCUGGCCCCGGUCGCGGCUUUCACCGUNNNCAGAUGCAGGGCAAGCGUACGGCUCCGGUCGAACAACAGACCGUAAUCCUCCUGAAGGUCGUAAAGCUCACCAGUCGCGAUUUGCUCGAUAAGAAUAUCAAGCGCGCGCCGCUGGGCGGCAGGCACGAGAUUCUCCGAAUCCAGA
RNAcentral lists this unclassified non-coding RNA (255 nucleotides) under Hevea brasiliensis (rubber tree). The record is from RNAcentral. Lineage: Eukaryota; Viridiplantae; Streptophyta; Magnoliopsida; Malpighiales; Euphorbiaceae.